UACGGAGGGUGCGAGCGUUGUUCGGGAUCACUGGGCGUAAAGCGCGUGUAGGCGGCCUCCUAAGUCUGGUGUGAAAGCCCGGGGCUUACCCCCGGAAGUGCAUUGGAUACUGGGAGGCUGGAGUACCGGAGAGGAGGGUGGAAUUCCUGGUGUAGCGGUGAAAUGCGUAGAUAUCAGGAGGAACACCGGUGGCGAAGGCGGCCCUCUGGACGGAUACUGACGCUGAGACGCGACAGCGUGGGGAGCAAACAGG
RNAcentral lists this ribosomal RNA (253 nucleotides) under uncultured bacterium. Its description in RNAcentral is "partial 16S ribosomal RNA". It matches the Rfam family "Bacterial small subunit ribosomal RNA", at positions 524 to 776 of the family's 1533-position model. The record is from RNAcentral.